RNAcentral lists this ribosomal RNA (468 nucleotides) under uncultured bacterium. RNAcentral's name for it is "partial 16S ribosomal RNA". It matches the Rfam family "Bacterial small subunit ribosomal RNA", at positions 28 to 507 of the family's 1533-position model. The record is from RNAcentral.
GACGAACGCUGGCGGCGUGCUUAACACAUGCAAGUCGAACGGAAAGGCCCUGCUUUUGUUGUGUUCUCGAGUGGCGAACGGGUGAGUAACACUUGAGUAACCUGCCCUUUACUUUGUUAUAACUUCAGGAAACUGGGGCUAAUACCGGAUAGGAUCUCCUGCUGCAUGUUGGGGGUUGGAAAGUUUCGGCGGUUGGGGAUGGACUCGCGGCUUAUCAGCUUGUUGGUGGGGUAGUGGCUUACCAAGGCUUUGACGGGUAGCCGGCCUGAGAGGGUGAACGGCCACAUUGGGACUGAGAUACGGCCCAGACUGCUACGGGAGGCAGCAGUGGGGAAUAUUGCACAAUGGGCGGAAGCCUGAUGAAGCAAAGCCGCGGGCGGGAUGACGGCCUUCGGGUUGUAAACCGAUUUCGCCUGUGACGAAGCGUGAGUGACGGUAAUGGGUAAAGAAGCACCGGCUAACUACGUG